CCUACGGGUGGCUGCAGUGGGGGAUAUUGCACAAUGGGGGGAACCCUGAUGCAGCGACGCCGCGUGAGGGAAGAAUCCCCUCUGCGCGUAAAGCCCUUUCAGCAGGGAAGAAAAUGACGGUACCUGAAGAAGAAGCCCCGGCUAACUACGUGCCAGCAUCCGCGGUAAUACGUAGGGGGCAAGCGUUAUCCGGAUUUACUGGGUGUAAAGGGGGCGCAGACGGCGAUGCAAGGCAGGAGUGAAAGCCCGGGGCCCAACCCCGGGACUGCUCUUGAAACUGCGUGGCUGGAGUGCAGGAGGGGCAGGCGGAAUGCGUGGUGUAGCGGUGAAAUGCGUAGAUAUUAGGAGGAACACCGGUGGCGAAGGCGGCCUGCUGGACUGCAACUGACGUUGAGGCCCGAAAGCGUGGGGAGCAAACAGGAUUAGAUACCCGAGUAGUC
This 440-nucleotide ribosomal RNA is filed under the name uncultured bacterium. RNAcentral describes it as "partial 16S ribosomal RNA". It matches the Rfam family "Bacterial small subunit ribosomal RNA", at positions 338 to 795 of the family's 1533-position model. The record is from RNAcentral.